UCACUUACCUGGACGGGGUAAAUGGGCGAUCAAGAAGGUCCAUGUCCUAGGUUGGUGACCUCCAUUGCACUUUGGAGGGGUGCCCGCCUAAGGUCGGCCCAAGUGGUCGAGCCUACGUCAUAAUUUGUGGCAGUGAGGGCCUGCGUUCGCGCGGCCCUCAC
Helianthus annuus (common sunflower) is the source of this 161-nucleotide non-coding RNA. The record is from Rfam. Lineage: Eukaryota; Viridiplantae; Streptophyta; Magnoliopsida; Asterales; Asteraceae.